AUUGAACGCUGGCGGCAUGCUUUACACAUGCAAGUCGAACGGUAACAGGCCUUCGGGUGCUGACGAGUGGCGAACGGGUGAGUAAUGCAUCGGAACGUGCCCAGAGGUGGGGGAUAACGCAGCGAAAGCUGUGCUAAUACCGCAUGUGAUCUGAGGAUGAAAGCGGGGGACCAGGCAGCAAUGUUUGGCCUCGCGCCUUUGGAGCGGCCGAUGUCAGAUUAGGUAGUUGGUGGGGUAAAGGCCUACCAAGCCGACGAUCUGUAGCUGGUCUGAGAGGACGAGCAGGGAGAGUGGAAUUGAGAGGCGGGGCAGAUUCCGAUGGGAGGCAGAAGGGGGGAAGAAGGGACAAGGGGGGCAAGCAUGACCCGGCAAUAGUGCGUAAGUGAAGAAGGCCUUAGGAUGGUAAAGGUGGGUUGGUGGGAAAGAAAAGCAGCAGGGGAAUACCGCGCGGUGAGGACGGGAAAAAAAGAAGAAGCAACGGAUAACUUAGUG
Molecule: ribosomal RNA, 492 nt
Filed under: uncultured bacterium
Lineage: Bacteria
Description: partial 16S ribosomal RNA
Rfam family: Bacterial small subunit ribosomal RNA
Source: RNAcentral